GUGCUCAUGUCGGGGUAGCGGUUCCUCUGGAACGUGGCUUCCAGCUCCUGGAGCUGCUGGCUGGUGAAGUGAGUCCGCUGCCUCCGCUGCUUCUUCUUGAGUGAGCCGUCCUCGGGGUUGGAGUCGUCUGUCUGGUUCUGUUGGGACUUCUCAGUAUCGCUAUGGUCCUGCCCCUUGCAGCUGUGCUCGUGCUGGGGGGUGCCGGAAUCUGAGAGGGACAGGGCUGGGCUGCGAGCCUCCGCGUCCGCCAGCAGGUUGAAAUCCAUGGGGCAGGAAUGGGUGGUGGUGAUGGAGGAACAGCAGCUCCAGAUGCGGGAUCGGCUCGGCGGCCUUAAUCCUGCGAACGGGGUGACGCCGCUGCCCCUGCCCCGCUACCCGGGCCGCUCCGCCGCUGUCAGAAAGUAAAUCCCCGCGACUCCCCGGCACGCUGCGCCUCGCUGCCGGCCUGCGGCUCACGGGGAGAACGGAGGGCGACGGCCGACUGCCGCCCAUUCACCCGGCCCAUUCACUUUAUGGCGGCGGCCGGCGCCCCCCGCCAGCUG
RNAcentral lists this long non-coding RNA (542 nucleotides) under Gallus gallus (chicken). The record is from RNAcentral. Lineage: Eukaryota; Metazoa; Chordata; Aves; Galliformes; Phasianidae.